AUGGUGGCCAGGACCCUGUACACAUAUCCUGAGAACUGGAGGGUCUUCAAGCCUCUCAUUGCUGCUCGGUACAGUGGGGCUCAGGUCUAUGUGCUCUCUGCACCACCCCAUUUCCAGUUUGACCAAACCAACUCCCCCGAAUUUCUCCGUAAAUUGCCUGCCAGUAAGUUUCCAGCAUUUGAGGGUGACGAUGGUUUCUGUGUGUUGGAGAGCAAUGCCAGUGCCUACUAUGUGAGCAAUGAGGAGCUGUGGGGAAAUACUCCAGAGGCAGCAGCCCCAGUGGUUCAGGGGUGAGCUUUGCUGAUAGUGACAUAGUGUCCCCAGCCAGUACCUGGGUGUUCCCCACUUUGGGCAUUGUGCACCACAACAAGCAGGCCACACAGAAUGCAAAGGAAGAGGUAAGGUGAAUUCUGAGACUACUGGAUGCUCACUUAAUGACAAGGACUUUCCUGGUGGGUGAAUGUGUGACACUGGCUGACAUCACAAUAGUCUGCACCCUGUUGUGGCUUUAUAAACAGGUCCUGGAGCCUUCUUUCCAGCAGGCCUUCCCUGACACCAACCACUGGUUCCUCACCUGCAUUAACUGGCCCCAGUUCCAGGCUAUCUUGUGGGGGAGGGGAAACUCCAUGAGAAGAUGGCCCAGGUUGAUGCUAAAAAGUUUGCAGGGAGCCAUCCUGAAAAGGGUACCCUACAGAAAGAGAAAGGUUCUUGAGAAGAGAAGCAGAACCCCCAGGCUGAGUGGAAAGAGGAGAAAAAGGCUGCUGCCGCUGCUUCUGAGGAGGAGAUGGAUGAAUGUGAACAGGCGCUGGCUGCUAAGGCAAAGGCCAAGGAUCACUUUGCUCACUUGCCCAAGAGUACCUUUGUGUUGGAUGAAUUUAAGUGCAAAUACUCCAGUGAGGACACCCUCUCUGUGGUGCUACCAUAUGUUUGGGAGCAUUUUGAUAAGGAUGGCUGGUCUCUGUGCUAUUCUGAGUACUGUUUCCCUGAGAGCUCACCUGGACCUUCAUGAGCUGCAACCUCAUCACUGGAAUGUUCCAGAGGUUGGACAAACUGAGGAAGAAUGCCUUUGCCAGUGUCACUCUUUUUGGAGCUAACAAUAGCAGUUCCAUUUCUGAAGUCUAGGUCUUCUAAGGCCAGGAUCUUGCCUUUCUGAGUCCAGACUGGCAGGCAGACUAAGAGUCAUAUACAUGGCAGAAACUGGGUCCUGGCAGUGAGGAGACCCAGACACUGGUUCAAGAGUAUUUUUCCUGGGAGGGGGCCUUCCAGCAUGUGGGCAAAGCAUUCAAUCAGGGCAAGAUCUUCAAAUAA
Non-coding RNA from Leptonychotes weddellii (Weddell seal), 1308 nucleotides. The record is from RefSeq and is a predicted model, not a curated record. Lineage: Eukaryota; Metazoa; Chordata; Mammalia; Carnivora; Phocidae.